CCGAAACCCCAAUUGAAUCCCCAAACCCCUUCAUCUCUCUCUCGUCCCCUGCUCUCUGCCUCGCCGGAGUUGCGCCUCUUCUCGUCGGCGUUCUUGAAGUUCGUCGGAGCCGCGCUGUUGUGCAGCAAAUUACUUCUCUUGGUUCUUCUUCAUUGUUCGUGCUCUGCUCGUGGUUUUCCAGCGAACGAUUUGUUGCGGCGCGGUAUUUCAUCGACAAACAACCGCCAUAAUCCUGUCGUUGGUGUUGCGCUGCUGUCAUUAAGCCUCGCCGGAGCGGCGCUGAUGUGAACCGGAGCUUCGAAACUCCCCCUUCAUCCCUCUGUUCUUCGCUGCUCUUGUGAGCAGAGUAUCUUAUAUGUUUCAGGUUGAAGCCGUGAGUUAUUCUUUUGCAAGCUGAAGCGGAUACGAGAUGGUGCAGUAUUAUAUUUGUUAUUGAAGUGAGGACGCUCCACUUGUAAUAGUUCAUCGUUCAUUUAUUUUUAAUAAUCUAUUUCUUUAUUUAAGAACCGGUAGCUAGUGCUCCUGAUUCUCUGUUGGUUGUUGCUCCGCGAAAGCGUUGAGGUUGUUGAGCUUUGGGAUUUGGAAAUAUUUUAUAAUUUGAAAUUGCAACAGGAUCA
Molecule: long non-coding RNA, 617 nt
Organism: Beta vulgaris subsp. vulgaris (sugar beet)
Lineage: Eukaryota; Viridiplantae; Streptophyta; Magnoliopsida; Caryophyllales; Amaranthaceae
Exons: 2
Source: RefSeq, a predicted model, not a curated record